UGCGUAGGCGGAAUAUUAAGUCAGUGGUGAAAUCCUGCGGCUCAACCGUAGAACUGCCAUUGAUACCGAUAUUCUUGAAUGUAGUUGAGGUAGGCGGAAUGUGUAAUGUAGCGGUGAAAUGCUUAGAUAUUACACAGAACACCGAUUGCGAAGGCAGCUUACUAAACUAUGAUUGACGCUGAGGCACGAAAGCGUGGGGAGCGAACAGGAUUAGAUACCCUGGUAGUCC
This 229-nucleotide ribosomal RNA is filed under the name uncultured bacterium. RNAcentral describes it as "partial 16S ribosomal RNA". It matches the Rfam family "Bacterial small subunit ribosomal RNA", at positions 568 to 796 of the family's 1533-position model. The record is from RNAcentral.